GAUGAACGCUGGCGGCGUGCCUAACACAUGCAAGUCGAGCGGAAAUGACCUGAAGUACUCGUACUGAGGGAAAUUUUAGCGGCGGACGGGUGAGUAACACGUGAGCAACCUGCCUUCAGCAGGGGAAUAACAUUGGGAAACCAGUGCUAAUACCGCAUGACAUCAUCGGGCGACAUCGCCUGGUGAUCAAAGGAGCAAUCCGGCUGAAGAUGGGCUCGCGUCCGAUUAGCUAGUUGCGGGGUAACGGCCCACCAAGGCGACGAUCGGUAGCCGAACUGAGAGGUUGAUCGGCCACAUUGGGACUGAGACACGGCCCAGACUCCUACGGGAGGCAGCAGUGGGGAAUAUUGGGCAAUGGGGGAAACCCUGACCCAGCAACGCCGCGUGAAGGACGAAGGCCUUCGGGUUGUAAACUUCUUUGAUCAGGGACGAAAGCAAUGACGGUACCUGAAGAACAAGCCACGGCUAACUACGUG
RNAcentral lists this ribosomal RNA (476 nucleotides) under uncultured bacterium. RNAcentral describes it as "bacterial SSU rRNA". It matches the Rfam family "Bacterial small subunit ribosomal RNA", at positions 28 to 507 of the family's 1533-position model. The record is from RNAcentral.